This is an RNA transcript of Odobenus rosmarus divergens (Pacific walrus), 3146 nucleotides long. It is a transcript of the gene named complement factor H-like, with no coding region annotated. The record is from RefSeq and is a predicted model, not a curated record. The transcript is spliced from 15 exons. Lineage: Eukaryota; Metazoa; Chordata; Mammalia; Carnivora; Odobenidae.
AUGUACACUUACCAUUGGUUGGGUUCCCGGGUACCAGUGGUCAGGCCAGUGAGGCUUCCCGGUGUCCCUUAUCCGCCAGAGGCUGCCACAGUCAGCUUGCUUAACCUGGCCCUCGUAAGGCAGCCCGAUGAUUCCAAUUGGGCCUCAGGAGGAAUAGGGUCACACCUGAUAACUGCCAAUGAAGCAGAUUUGCAAUCCCAAACAACACAACUGGAAGAUUGUAUUAACAUGCCAUUGGGAGUAUCUGACAUGUGGUUACUAAUCAAUGUCAUUCUCAUCUUGUGGGUUUCUUGUUCUCAAGGACAAGAAUCUUGUGAUAUGCCAGUAUUCGUGAAUGCCAGACUCAAGAGCAGUGGUACAAGGUUUCAGCUCAAUGACCAGCUGGACUUUGAAUGCUAUGAUGGAUAUGAAAACAGACUUGGACACAUCACAGGCUCCAUAGUCUGUGGUCACACUGGUUGGUCUGAUACACCCACAUGUUAUGAAAGAGAAUGUGAGAUUCCUCUAAUAGAAAAAUACUUAAUUGUUGAGCCCAGAAAAGACAAAUAUAGAGUUGGAGAUAUGUUGAAAUUCUCCUGCAGACAAAGAUUCACAAGAGUUGGACCAGAUUCAUUUCAGUGUUAUCACUUUGGAUGGUCCCCCUAAUUUUCCAACAUGUAAAGAGCUAGUAAAAUUGUGUGGCACACAUCCUCAACUCCCCAAUGGGGAGGUUAAAGAAAGAAACAAAGAAAAUUAUGAACACAAUGAAUUGGUGGAAUAUGUUUGCAACCCUGGAUUUUUGAUGAAGGGUCCUAAUAAAAUUCAAUGUGUUGAUAGAAAAUGGACAACGUUGCCUAUAUGUAUUGGUAAUGCCAGCACAUGUGGUGAUAUACCCGGACUUGAUUAUGGCUAUAUUGUUGAGUUUUCUGCCCCUCCCUAUCACCAUGGAGAUUCAGUGGAGUUCAAUUGCAGAGAAACAUUUACAUUGAUUGGACACAGAUCAAUUAAUGUGUUAGAGGAAUGUGGACCCAACCUCUUCAGUGUGUUGCAACAAAUGAACUUAAGAAAUGUAAACUAUCACACUCAUUUAACUAUGAGAUGGUUGAAUUUGAUCAUAACACCAACAAAAGUUACCAAUGUAAAGGAAGAUCAGAGAACAAGCACUCAAUAUGCAUAAAUGGAAGAUGGGAUCCUGAAAUAGCCUGCACAAAGCUACAAACACAGUCAUGCCCACCCCCACCUCAGAUUCCCAAUGCUCAAGAUAUGACAACUACAGUGAAUUACUGGGAAGGAGAAGAAAUAUCUGUUCUCUGUCAAGAAGAUUAUGUAAUUCAGGGUGCAGAAGAAAUUGUGUGUCAGGAUGGAAGAUGGCAGUCAAUACCAUGCUGUGUUGAAAAGAUUCCAUGUUCUCAACCACCUCGUAUAGAACAUGGAAUUGUGAAAGCAUCUAGUUCUUCAGAAGAAAGGAAAGAAACAUUUAAACCCAGGCUUUAUGCACAUGGCACUAAAUUGAGUUAUAUUUGUGAAGAUGGUUUCAGGAUAUCUGAAGAAGAUGGGAUAAUGUGCUACGUGGGAAAAUGGAAUUCUCCACCUCAGUGUGUAGGACUUCCUUGUUAACCACCAUAGUUGAUGACGCAUUGUAUUCUACCUCACAUAUUAGAUAGUUACCAGUAUGGAGUAAGAAGUCACUUACAACUGUGCUGAAGGUUUUGGGAUUAAUGGACCCACAUUUAUAAAAUAUUUAGAAGGAAAAUGGUCCCAUCCACCAGAAUGCAUAAAAAUGUAUUGUUCUAGUUUACCUGACUUUGGUGAUGCCAUGCUCAUAGGCCCAAAGAAGGAAUCAUAUAGAUCAGAAGAAAAAGUGACUUAUACGUGUCCAGAAUAUUACCAAUUGGAUGGAUCCAAUAUUGUACAGUGUAUUAAGAGCCAGUGGAUGGGAAGGCCGACAUUCAGAGAUGUUUCCUGUGUGAAUCCACCCAGAGUGAAAAAUGCUAUUAUAUUAAAUGAGAUGCCUAGGUAUCUACCUGGUCAGAGAAUAUGUUAUCAAUGCCAGGCCUUCUAUGCACUUUAGGGAAACAGGAAUGUAAUAUGUAGUAAUGGACAGUGGUCGAAACCACCAAAAUGCUUAGACCCUAAAGGAAAAUGUGGUCCCCCUCCACCUAUUGACAAUGGAGACAUUACCUCAUUCCCAUUACCAGCUUAUGCUCCAGGAUCAUCAGUUGAGUACCGAUGCCAGGCCUUCUAUGCACUUCAGGGAAACAGGACUAUAAUAUGUAGGAAUGGACAGUGGUCAAAACCACCAAAAUGCUUGGAUGCAUGUGUGGUAUCACAUGAAAUCAUGGAAAAGCAUAACAUACAAUUACGAUGGAGACAUGAGAAAAAAUUUUAUUCUAAAACAGGGGAUAAUAUUGAAUUUACAUGUAAAGCUGGAUAUCAUAAAAAGUCACCAGCUCAUGCAUUUCGAGUAACCUGUUGGGAAGGGAAAGUGAUUUAUCCCACUUGUGUAUAAAGCAAUGGUUAAGAUGCAGUCCUAAAAUUAAAAUAUGUACGUUUAUCCCAAGUUUUCAUUAUGAAUCCAAUUCUUCUCAGUUAUUUUUUCAACUAUUAUUUAACUCAUUUUUAUUCAUAAAUCAGAAUUUGGUGUUAAAUAGAAUGUGGAUGAUAUAACCUAAGAGACAAAUGAAUCCUUUCUUAAAAGCACCAUAUUAAAACUUGGUGAACCAAAAUGCUAUGUGUCCUAUUCAUAAAAUAUCUGUGUCAAGAAAUUAGUUGUGAUCACUUCCAUGCCUGCUUCUUUCCAUCCUUCUCCUAACUUUCUCAAAGCUUUCUCCAUAACUCCUGAGGCUUCCUGAGGCUCUCCAUUUCAGAGGAAAUGGGGGAAAAAAAUGCUUGCAUCUGUCUUCAAAAUCAUAUCACUUCACAAACACAUAGAAACCUAAUUGUGUCAUACCUAUGUUAUUAAUGAGAUAUACGAAAUUAUCAUUUACUUUUAUUUAUCUCUCAAUAGAUAUAUAUGCCAAAAAUGAUGAAAUGCAUGAUCUCCUAUAAGAUGUAUAUCUAGCAAACAUAAUAAUUCAAACAAAUCAUGAAGAGGAAUUCAAAUCUAAUUAGGUGCAUAACUAUUAUUACAUUAAAAGUGAUUUCAAAAGUCCAAUAUCAAGUAUAGA